RNAcentral lists this long non-coding RNA (2240 nucleotides) under Aquilegia coerulea. Its description in RNAcentral is "long non-coding RNA (ACOE_LNC001254)". Lineage: Eukaryota; Viridiplantae; Streptophyta; Magnoliopsida; Ranunculales; Ranunculaceae. The record is from RNAcentral.
CCACACCAUAUACAAUGCAUACACAGAUACAUCAGCCAAAAAUCUGAUAGUUCAUUUGGGUGAUAUUCUUCGGCUGAUGUGUCACAAUUGUAUAAAGAUCAGCUAUUCAGCCAUUCUGGUUCUUCUAGGAAUCCCAUUUCAUGGAUAGAUGUAGUAAGAAAAAAGUCAUAAAAUGCAGUGGAUUUAAUACCUGGUAUAUGUAUGGAUCCUUUGGACCUCCUGCACCAAAUCUCUUUACCUUUUCCAGCUUCAACAACCUGCAAAUUUGUCAUAGGAACUCAUUUAAGUGGGUACUAAUGUACUAUGGUGGACAGUCCAUGAAUUAUGAUCAAUUUUCCAGUAGAAUGAAAAAGAUAUAGGCCUGAGCCCACAUGAUGUCUACAAUCAGUUUGUUUUAGUGGCAUAGGACUAAUAGGAGCCCAUUAUUGGUGUUUCAUAAUCUAGGUCUGAGAACCCCUGAUUGAUUCAUAAUGUCUUUAAAUACCAAACACAUUGUUAUUAGUCUUUCUGAUUAAUGGAGGAUUCAGUCGACGUGUCAUAUUAAGGAAAUUCGCUCAUAAUUCCUUAGAGCAUUCCUAAAUGGUAAAAUGGUUUUAGAGGUGCCACGUAGGAGAGAGGGUAAAGGUUUUAGGAUUAAACUAUGCUAAAAGUGUUUUUUACUUUUAGAGUUGUCAAUAGUUGUUUUUAAAUGCAAUAUAAUUUUAAUUAUUAAACAAUCUUAUGUGGCACCUCUAAAACUCUUUUAACUCCUUGGCAAAUUUGCCAAGGAGUUAAAAAUGUUUUGCUUGAAAAGUGUGUUAAAACUACCAUUGACAAGUGUUUUCACUAAAAGCUUACUAAAAGUGUGCUAAAACCUACCAUUGGGAAUGCUCUUAAUGUCAUUUGUGCUGAAAUAAAAUUCAAGAUUCAAAGUGACCAUCCAUAUUAGUGUAUUUAUUUUUCAGAGAAGAUGAACUUGGAUUACUUGAGCACAUUGGUUGCUUAUGACUCAAUCAGGCAGACAGGCAUCCACUACAGGUCAUCAAGUUCAGUUCGGCCGUAAGCAGUUUAGUACUAGAAUAAGGCAAUCAUGGAAAAGGGCCCAAGAGCUUCAUGAAAAAGGACCAAAUCACUCACUUUGACAACGAACUUUGAAGUUGGUUGCAAAACUGACAACCAACUACAAAGUUAACAAUGAACUUCGAGUCAACUUUCUUGACUAACAUUGAAAAAGUCUCCGGUAGUUUUCUCCGUUGAACUGUGUGACGUGGAAGAAUAUGUAUAACGUGGCUUGCCAUUUAAUGACACGUAAGUAAAUAAUGAAAACAGAAAAAACAAUAACGGUUAAGUCCAUACGUGCUUUGCACGUGAGAAAAAGCAAUAACGGUUAACCCUUGUUUAAACAUCAUCUUCUUCCUUUGUCUAUUUAUACCAGUGAAGCCCUAGAAAUCUAAUUAAAGCUCUUCUUACCCCUUCUUCCCCAAAUUUCAUGAAAAUCAUGUCUUCAAGCUCAACUAAGUCUUAUACCAAUGCAUAUGCCACCUGCAAAUGUGGAAUUCCUGCUCCAAUUAGAGUUUCAGGUACGGAAGCCAACAAAAAUCAAAAAUUCAUCAACUGUGUGAGGGGAGAAUGUAAUUACUUUGUGUGGGUUGAUAAUCUUGUGCCAAAAACUCAAUUGGAGAUGAUGAAGAGAGAAGAAUACUUCAUGAAUCGAAUACUUCAUGAAUCGAAUUGAUAAUUAUCAGUCAAAAAUUGUUUACUCUAUAUUUUUAAGCUUGCAUAGCCAUAUACAGUAGAAGGUUGGAUGAGAUGUUGUCUAGACUCCUAAAAACUCAAGGAAAAGGAAAACUGCAAAAUCUUGAAAUCACAAACAGUUUAUACAUUUGACAGACUUUAAAAGGUCUUCUAUGCUUAGGGUGAGAACAAAAACAUCUGUCCCUCAAUUUUUGAACCCUUACACUCAUAUAGUCAUCUUCCUCUUUCUUUUUCUUCUCUUUCUUUUAUGCAUAGAUGGCAGCCAAAACUUUCCCUUACAAUAACCCUCUUACUGAAACCCCACAUUUUACCCCACAUUUAUCUCCUGAAGAAAAACUAGAUCAAGAAAUAACUUCAGCAGCCAAGAAUCUUCUCUCCUUACCUGGUUCUGGGCAUCUCACUGGUAGGACGAAAACAAAUUUUAAGUGGAGUUGCCGGAUAGGGACCACAGUGAAAGUGAUUUUUGUAAAGAAAGAAAGAUUAAAUUAUUUUGAUUUUAUUAAAUU